Long non-coding RNA from Ananas comosus (pineapple), 381 nucleotides. RefSeq lists it as uncharacterized. NCBI's taxonomy places the organism in Eukaryota, Viridiplantae, Streptophyta, Magnoliopsida, Poales, Bromeliaceae. The transcript is spliced from 2 exons. The record is from RefSeq and is a predicted model, not a curated record.
UUGGUGGUGGUCGCUCCACCCAAGCAGUGCACUCCGGAGGUUGUCACAUGAUGAGCUAAAGUAUUUGCCCAUGGACUAAAGUACCUGUUCAGCAGACGAUCCCGUCGGGAUGCAGCUUAGGGCCCGAUUAUCAGGGAUUGCGUUGGUUCUAGCGUGAGCGUUGUGGCCGAGGAUCGCGGCGAGAGCCGAGCAGCCUAGCUAGUGGACACCCGAGUUCUAGUGGUAUACCAUUUUGGUUUCAUAUUGCACGUAAUGAUGAACAGAGAGAUAUGUAAAUGAAAAUGUAAAUGAUGUAAAUAACUAAAUGUUCAGUUAUUCAGUUAUAUAUAGUUUAGUGUUAAACGUUUUAAAUUACAGUGAAUUUCAUGUAUAGUUAGCUUA